Non-coding RNA from Ictidomys tridecemlineatus (thirteen-lined ground squirrel), 58 nucleotides. The record is from Rfam. NCBI's taxonomy places the organism in Eukaryota, Metazoa, Chordata, Mammalia, Rodentia, Sciuridae.
UAGCUCAGUUGGUAGAGUGCUUGCCUCACAUGCACAAGGCCCUGGGUUCAAUCCCCAG